UGGGGAAUCUUCCGCAAUGGACGAAAGUCUGACGGAGCAACGCCGCGUGAGUGAAGAAGGUUUUCGGAUCGUAAAACUCUGUCUUUUGGGGCGAACGUGAGUAUGGUGAACAAUCAUAGUCAGUGACGGUACCAAAGGAGGAAGCCACGGCUAACUACGUGCCAGCAGCCGCGGUAAUACGUAGGUGGCAAGCGUUGUCCGGAAUUAUUGGGCGUAAAGAGCGCGUAGGCGGGAUAGUCAGCCUGUUGUAAAAGUGCGGGGCUCAACCCCGUGAUGGCAAUGGAAACAGCUAUUCUUGAGUGCAGGAGAGGAAAGUGGAAUUCCCAGUGUAGCGGUGAAAUGCGUAGAUAUUGGGAGGAACACCAGUGGCGAAGGCGACUUUCUGGACUGUGUCUGACGCUGAGGCGCGAAAGCCAGGGGAGCGAACGGGAUUAGAUACCCGGUAGUCCUGGCCGUAAACGAUGGGUACUAGGUGUGGGGGUAUCGACCCUUCCGUGCCGGAGUUAACACAAUAAGUACUCCGCCUGGGAAGUACGAUCGCAAGAUUAAAACUCAAAGGAAUU
Molecule: ribosomal RNA, 563 nt
Filed under: uncultured bacterium
Lineage: Bacteria
Description: partial 16S ribosomal RNA
Rfam family: Bacterial small subunit ribosomal RNA
Source: RNAcentral